UGCAGGCUGCAACUCGCCUGCACGAAGCCGGAGUUGCUAGUAAUCGCGGAUCAGAAUGCCGCGGUGAAUGCGUUCCCGGGUCUUGUACACACCGCCCGUCACACCAUGGAAGUUGGGGGUGCCCAAAGCCGGCAGGGAAAUAUGCUGUCUAAGGCAAAACCAAUGACUGGGGUGAAGUCGUAACAAGGUAAC
This 192-nucleotide ribosomal RNA is filed under the name uncultured bacterium. RNAcentral describes it as "partial 16S ribosomal RNA". It matches the Rfam family "Bacterial small subunit ribosomal RNA", at positions 1299 to 1500 of the family's 1533-position model. The record is from RNAcentral.